CUUCACGAAACGUCAAACUAACAGCUAACUUAAUUUACUGAUAAACGUGGAAAUAAUACUUUUCGAGUCAGUGUCAAAGAAGGAAAAUUAUGCCAAGGGAUAGAAUAGAUGGAAAACACAAAGUCAAGUCAUUGUUGCCGAACCACCGCAGAGUGGUAUACGGAGGUCUAGUAAGCUGCUUUAUCUGGGAUGGAUCACUGUCAUCAUUACCAUGCAAUCUUGGCAGCCACCGCACUCAGGCGGCUCAUUCAUUUACUCCUAAUUGGGGAUCCAAGGUGGGUGCCAGCUGUGGAGAUGCAGAGUACUGGGGGUUUUUUUUGAUGUGCAUCAAUAAACACUCCCUCAUACAAUAUUGCAAACUAACAGAAACCAGAACGUGAUGCUGCUUUCUAUGCCAGUGAUCAUUACUGUAAGUUCACUAGAGCCUCUCCAGA
This is a long non-coding RNA of Puntigrus tetrazona (Sumatra barb), 434 nucleotides long. RefSeq lists it as uncharacterized. NCBI's taxonomy places the organism in Eukaryota, Metazoa, Chordata, Actinopteri, Cypriniformes, Cyprinidae. The transcript is spliced from 3 exons. The record is from RefSeq and is a predicted model, not a curated record.